This 605-nucleotide ribosomal RNA is filed under the name Kocuria sp. CMT99. RNAcentral describes it as "bacterial SSU rRNA". It matches the Rfam family "Bacterial small subunit ribosomal RNA", at positions 271 to 885 of the family's 1533-position model. The record is from RNAcentral. Lineage: Bacteria; Bacillati; Actinomycetota; Actinomycetes; Micrococcales; Micrococcaceae.
AGGCGACGACGGGUAGCCGGCCUGAGAGGGUGACCGGCCACACUGGGACUGAGACACGGCCCAGACUCCUACGGGAGGCAGCAGUGGGGAAUAUUGCACAAUGGGCGGAAGCCUGAUGCAGCGACGCCGCGUGAGGGAUGACGGCCUUCGGGUUGUAAACCUCUUUCAGCAGGGAAGAAGCCACMAGUGACGGUACCUGCAGAAGAAGCGCCGGCUAACUACGUGCCAGCAGCCGCGGUAAUACGUAGGGCGCAAGCGUUGUCCGGAAUUAUUGGGCGUAAAGAGCUCGUAGGCGGUUUGUCGCGUCUGCUGUGAAAGCCCGGGGCUCAACCCCGGGUCUGCAGUGGGUACGGGCAGACUAGAGUGCAGUAGGGGAGACUGGAAUUCCUGGUGUAGCGGUGAAAUGCGCAGAUAUCAGGAGGAACACCGAUGGCGAAGGCAGGUCUCUGGGCUGUUACUGACGCUGAGGAGCGAAAGCAUGGGGAGCGAACAGGAUUAGAUACCCUGGUAGUCCAUGCCGUAAACGUUGGGCACUAGGUGUGGGGGACAUUCCACGUUCUCCGCGCCGUAGCUAACGCAUUAAGUGCCCCGCCUGGGGAGUACGG